CGGUAAUACAGAGGGUACAAGCGUUAAUCGGAAUUACUGGGCGUAAAGCGCGCGUAGGUGGUUUGUUAAGUUGGAUGUGAAAUCCCCGGGCUCAACCUGGGAACUGCAUUCAAAACUGACUGACUAGAGUAUGGUAGAGGGUGGUGGAAUUUCCUGUGUAGCGGUGAAAUGCGUAGAUAUAGGAAGGAACACCAGUGGCGAAGGCGACCACCUGGACUAAUACUGACACUGAGGUGCGAAAGCGUGGGGAGCAAACAGGAUUAGAUACCCCAG
Molecule: ribosomal RNA, 273 nt
Filed under: uncultured Pseudomonas sp.
Lineage: Bacteria; Pseudomonadati; Pseudomonadota; Gammaproteobacteria; Pseudomonadales; Pseudomonadaceae
Description: partial 16S ribosomal RNA
Rfam family: Bacterial small subunit ribosomal RNA
Source: RNAcentral